Molecule: long non-coding RNA, 413 nt
Filed under: Oryza brachyantha (malo sina)
Lineage: Eukaryota; Viridiplantae; Streptophyta; Magnoliopsida; Poales; Poaceae
Description: long non-coding RNA (OBRA_LNC000997)
Source: RNAcentral
AGUCAAGGCCACGCAGCUGUUUGGGCCACGGCAGCGCCCACGCGUCGUCGUAGGAUGUGCGCCUCGCCACCGACAUAGCCGAAACCGACUUGAAGUCGAGUACUGCUCCGUUGUCAUCCCCUCGCCGCCGCUUCUCCUUGCCACCGCCUUAGUCUCUCUCCAAACUUCCUCUCCGUCUCUCUUUUCCAGCCGCCAACCACAGAGAAAGCAGAGCUCUUGCCUCCCAUCAUCCCCCUCCCCGAACCAGCAAGUGCAUCGUCGCCGGAGUUGUCGUCGCCAACGCGAGGACACCGUCGGCUCCAUUCUAGCCGCCGACGCCAUCUCUUCCGAAUUCGCCACCACCGACUCCCCUCCUCCAAAAUCAAGGUAUCCAUCACCUUCGCCAUAACCGUGUACCUUUUUCCCCUCACUUU